GUCCUCCUCAACUAAGCUCCGGUUGCCAUGGCGACGGAGAGGCCUGCAGGGGCCUGGUCGGGGCUACACAGGCACUGCUUCUGCUCUUCCCCUUGGCCGUCCUGAGGGGACACAGUAGGAGCCAAGGAGGAGUAAAUUGUCACAUCAGAGUGAGGAACGUAAUGGAACAGGGAUGGUGUUGGCUGAUCCUGAAGAGAUCCUGAUCCAGCCUUGUAUGGAUAUGUCAGCUGAAGUAGUAGGGAUCAGAAAGGUCUAUGUGCUACACACAUAAGAGAACAGAGCAGUACCCUCCAAGGACCCUCAGUGGCAAGGACCAGAGAAGAAGAAAGGGAUAUGUGCACAGAGGAGGAAGAACAAGGUUGAUGCUGCAUGGAUAUUUUGUUGAUAGACUUCCUUGUGAGCUCAGGUACCAUUGGGGACACACUGAAAUACUUGGGAGGCUAGAUGUCCUGUGAGUAGCUAGAAAAAGGCAAAAAAUGUGAAUCAUUGGUGAACAAUGUAUAUACAUACAUAUAUGAGUAUUAUCUGUUACUGGGUGUGAUUAGUUAUGUAUGUCUUUGUUUCUUUGGGAUAUCCUCUAGUCAUUUUGCUUUUGUUCUGUCUUUCUCCUUAGAGAGCAAACUCCUGAAGACAAGAUCAAUUUCUCCACCCUUUUCCUGUCUAUUUCAUAAGAUGGUCAGAACUAUGUUUCUAAAACUCCUAUCCGAU
RNAcentral lists this long non-coding RNA (708 nucleotides) under Ursus maritimus (polar bear). RNAcentral describes it as "lncRNA (ENSUMAG00000022874.1)". The record is from RNAcentral. Lineage: Eukaryota; Metazoa; Chordata; Mammalia; Carnivora; Ursidae.